UUACAUGCAAGCUCGAACGGACAAGCUAAGAGCUUGCUCUUAUGAGUUAGUGGCGCACGGGUGAGUAAUGUAUAGUUAAUCUGCCCCUUAGUGGAGGACAACAGUUAGAAAUGACUGCUAAUACUCCAUACUCCUUCUUAACAUAAGUUAAGUCGGGAAAGUUUUUCGCUAAGGGAUGAGACUAUAUUGUAUCAGCUAGUUGGUAAGGUAAUGGCUUACCAAGGCUAUGACGCAUAACUGGUCUGAGAGGAUGAUCAGUCACACUGGAACUGAGACACGGUCCAGACUCCUACGGGAGGCAGCAGUAGGGAAUAUUGCUCAAUGGGGGAAACCCUGAAGCAGCAACGCCGCGUGGAGGAUGACACUUUUCGGAGCGUAAACUCCUUUUGUUAGGGAAGAACACUGACGGUACCUAACGAAUAAGCACCGGCUAACUCCGUGCCAGCAGCCGCGGUAAUACGGAGAGUGCAAGCGUUACUCGGAAUCACUGGGCGUAAAGGACGCGUAGGCGGAUUAUCAAGUCUCUUGUGAAAUCUAACGGCUUAACCGUUAAACUGCUUGGGAAACUGGUAAUCUAGAGUAAGGGAGAGGUAGAUGGAAUUCUUGGUGUAGGGGUAAAAUCCGUAGAGAUCAAGAAGAAUACCCAUUGCGAAGGCGAUCUACUGGAACUUAACUGACGCUAAUGCGUGAAAGCGUGGGGGGCAAACAGGAUUAGAUACCCUGGUAGUCCACGCCCUAACGAGUAACUGGUUGUGCUGNGCUAGUCANGGCNUAUCCCNUACGAUUANUNCCNCNGGGGNUCGUCCANAUNAACUNAGGAUAACGGGCCCCCANCGNGNCNUGGUUAUNNAAUCCNAAACUNCAG
Molecule: ribosomal RNA, 865 nt
Filed under: uncultured rumen bacterium
Lineage: Bacteria
Description: partial 16S ribosomal RNA
Rfam family: Bacterial small subunit ribosomal RNA
Source: RNAcentral